Molecule: long non-coding RNA, 1736 nt
Filed under: Nilaparvata lugens (brown planthopper)
Lineage: Eukaryota; Metazoa; Arthropoda; Insecta; Hemiptera; Delphacidae
Description: uncharacterized LOC111049078
Source: RNAcentral
GGCGCGCUCGUCACAGACUGGUUCCCCAACUGAAUCUUGAGAGAUCAUAACAUAACCACAUUACGUUCUUCUGUGCUUUUUCUGACUUCGACAAAAUAUAAUUUUAUAUUAAUAAAUAUAAUUUAUCAAUUAAUAAAUCUUGGUCUGGGAUGGCGCAUGGCGGUUAUUAAUUAAUUCCCGGCGUUGUUUGUGGUAUACUGAAUACUAGUAUGAACAAAUUGAUUUAUUGGUUCUACAACGAGAUGUAUUAUGAUUUUCCGACAAGAAUCGCAGAAAAAAAGAAAAAAAUUGUGGUGGUUUGGAAAACAUCUAAAUAUGUAUAUCCACUCAACUCUCAUCAUAAUCUAUCUCAUCUCCCUCGCACAAGCCUAGUGCUCAUGAUGGCAGCAUCCUCAGAAAACUGAUAUGAGUUUGAGGGGAAAUGUGGGUGGACGCUUUGGUUGAGCGGACUAAUACUUAAAGAGAUGAAGGCGUAUCUGGCAAUGGAUUGGUGUCUUCUUCCAAUGGCGACUGCUGAUUGAUGACGUCAUAACAUGGUGAUGUCUCAGAUACUUUGAACUGGUGUCAUCUCAGCUCAGAAGACAUCUUUCGGUGAUGCCAACAACUGCUGCCAUCGCAGGUGAUGUCAUGCAAAUUUCAACUGAUGACGUCACAGAAGACAUCUAUAGGUAACAUAGCGGAUAUCUAUAGCUGACGACGUUGUAGGACACAUUAUGGAAAUUUCUACUUCACAAGGAGUAGAUCAACUUCAAAACGGUAACGUUGAUAUUUCUUCAUUUUUUAAAAGAAAUUAGUCGCUAACCACCAAGAUGCAGCAGAGAUGUCAUCAUCAUCAUCAUCUUCAGAAGUCUACAACUUCGUUUCUACUCUUUAGAUGAUUUCUAAUUUAAGAUUUAACUAUUUCUAAUGUAGGCUAUGAUGAUAUUGUAUUGAUCCAAGUCAAAAACACACUACAGUAUAGUGACAUCAUUAUGAAGGGUUUUCAUUCAAGUUAUCUAUUCAAUUGAUUGGUUAUAUUUGGGAUUUUUAUGUGAUGUGACAACUGUAUGGUGUUUCUGGCUUAUUGUUAGGUUGUGACUGAAUUUAUAUAUUUUUAAAAUUCACAGGUAAUAAUUUCAAUCAUAGAGAAGGGAGGAAAUUAGUCUUUUUCUGAUUAUGAUAGAUGAUAUUUUGCCUUCUAAGCCAUUACAGCAAUCGGUUAACCGAUUUGUAGUCUGCAUCGAGUUGUAACUUGCAGACUAAUAAUACUUUCCAUCGCAUCAAAAGUCAUUCCACUUUGAAUUUUUCCCCACAUGAAACCAGGCCCUCUUUGUACCAUUUAAAUAGCACUGUCUCUAGAAGCACCAAUCACAACGUCUCGCACUCCUCUGUCAAUAGCCGUUUUUGUUUGCUUUACUUUUGAUUUGACAUUUUUCAACGCCCGGCCCGGGCAAGAUAUUUAUCUCGGGCCACUCCCGUAUUUCCGUCGGUCCCGGCUGUCUAAAAAGCAGUCGUUAGGUCAUGUCAGAGGCCCUGAAAUUGAUCAGUUGCGACCUGAAAACUCUGACACCAGACCUGAGCCAGCCAGGUCACUCGAUAUCAUUAUUUUUCAACGCCGUCGAAUCAAAAUCAUUUGUAGUAGUUAGUGAGCCACGUUUACGUGUGCUACAUUUGUAAAACCAUUACUGAUAUCAGUAGGAUCAGAUACGUAUGAAGAGUCCUUCUUAUUUACAGUAGUAAAUCAACCAGCUGUAAUC